Molecule: non-coding RNA, 306 nt
Organism: Pelobates cultripes (western spadefoot toad)
Lineage: Eukaryota; Metazoa; Chordata; Amphibia; Anura; Pelobatidae
Source: the annotation of a GenBank genome assembly
GUUACUUAUGAGGUCUGUGAGUAUUUUCUGUUCCAAAUUGCAUUUUAUUCAAUAAAUGGAGUACUGUGCUAAGGAUCCACCUUGUGGAAAUGAUUUGAAGCUUACUGAUUACAAAGUGCAGUUCUUUUUUGGAAUUGUAGUGAAGAUGGAAUUUGGACCCGUGGACCCGUGGAACCAGCACCUGAAGCCAGCAAUAAAUCUAUCAGUCACAGUAAGUAACCACUGUGUACUUAAUUAUUUUUACUUUUUUUUACUGGAGUUGUGUAAUAACGGCUAUGUGCAAAGGAGAUUUUCUACUUUUCUGUG